Molecule: ribosomal RNA, 492 nt
Filed under: uncultured bacterium
Lineage: Bacteria
Description: partial 16S ribosomal RNA
Source: RNAcentral
GUAGUUAGCCGGGGCUUCCUCCUUGGCUACCGUCACUUUCUUCGUCACCAAGGACAGAGGUUUACAACCCGAAAGCCUUCUUCCCUCACGCGGCGUUGCUGGGUCAGGCUUGCGCCCAUUGCCCAAUAUUCCCCACUGCUGCCUCCCGUAGGAGUCUGGACCGUGUCUCAGUUCCAGUGUGGCCGAUCAGCCUCUCAGGCUCGGCUACCCAUCCGUUGGCUAGGUGGGCCGUUACCCCACCAACUAGCUAAUCGGACGCGAGUCCAUCCUAAAGCGAAUAAAUCCUUUUACCUCAAAACCAUGCGGUUUCGUGGUCUUAUGCGGUAUUAGCAGUCGUUUCCAACUGUUGUCCCCCACUCUAGGGCAGGUUACUCACGCGUUACUCACCCGUUCGCCACUAGACUUAGAAAAGCAAGCUUCUCCAAGUCCCGUUCGACUUGCAUGUGUUAGGCGCGCCGCCAGCGUUCGUCCUGAGCCAUAAUCAAACUCUGA